UUAAUUAUAGUUAAAUAGUAUUGUGAAAGAAAAUUGAAAUAAUUUGAAAAAUUAAUAUUUUAAAAGAAAAUUUAAUUUAUUGUACCUUGCGUAUCAGGGUUUAUUAAUUAAAAAUUAUUUAUUAUAAUUUUCUCGAUUUUAAAAGAGUUAAUAUAUUAUAAAAGUUAAUGUGACAAAAUUAUUUUAUAUAAUAUAUUAGAAAUGAAAUGUUAUUCGUUUUUAAAGGUAUCUAGUUCUUUAAGAAAUAAAUUUAAUUUAGAAAUAUUAUAUUAUUUAGUUAAAUGUAUUAAUUAAAUAAUUAUUUUAUUUUAAUAUUUUAUGGGAUAAGCUGUGAAAUAAAUUAUUAAAAAUUUUUAAAUAGUUUAAUAAAUAUAAGCUUAGAAAUAGCUAUUAUUAAUGAAAUUGUUAUAAUUUAUUUUAUAAUAUUUAUUAUUUAUUAAAUUUUAAUUAUGUAUUAGAGUAUUUAUUUUAAUUUUAAAAAUAAAAAAAUAAUGAUAAAAUUAGUAUAUUAUGAUGUAUAAAUAUGUGAAAUUGAUAAGUUUUUAUAAAGAACUCGGCAAAAAUAAUGUU
Molecule: ribosomal RNA, 570 nt
Filed under: Sarcophaga javanica
Lineage: Eukaryota; Metazoa; Arthropoda; Insecta; Diptera; Sarcophagidae
Description: partial 16S ribosomal RNA
Source: RNAcentral